AGAGUUUGAUUCUGGCUCAGGACGAACGCUGGCGGCGUGCCUAAUACAUGCAAGUCGAACGAAGCUUUCUUUCACCGAAUGCUUGCAUUCACCGAAAGAAGCUUAGUGGCAAACGGGUGAGUAACACGUAGGCAACCUGCCCAAAAGAGGGGGAUAACACUUGGAAACAGGUGCUAAUACCGCAUAACCAUGAACACUGCAUGAUGUUCAUGUAAAAGACAGCUUUUGCUGUCGCUUUUGGUUGGGCCUGCGGCGUAUUAACUUGUUGGUGGGGUAACGGCCUACCAAGGUGAUGAUACGUAGCCGAACUGAGAGGUUGAUCGGCCACAUUGGGACUGAGACACGGCCCAAACUCCUACGGGAGGCAGCAGUAGGGAAUCUUCCACAAUGGACGAAAGUCUGAUGGAGCAACGCCGCGUGAAUGAAGAAGGCCUUCGGGUCGUAAAAUUCUGUUGUCAGAGAAGAACGUGCGUGAGAGUAACUGUUCACGUAUUGACGGUAUCUGACCAGAAAGCCACGGCUAACUACGUGCCAGCAGCCGCGGUAAUACGUAGGUGGCGAGCGUUGUCCGGAUUUAUUGGGCGUAAAGGGAACGCAGGCGGUCUUUUAAGUCUGAUGUGAAAGCCUUCGGCUUAACCGAAGUAGUGCAUUGGAAACUGGAAGACUUGAGUGCAGAAGAGGAGGGUGGAACUCCAUGUGUAGCGGUG
Molecule: ribosomal RNA, 707 nt
Filed under: uncultured Lactobacillus sp.
Lineage: Bacteria; Bacillati; Bacillota; Bacilli; Lactobacillales; Lactobacillaceae
Description: bacterial SSU rRNA
Rfam family: Bacterial small subunit ribosomal RNA
Source: RNAcentral